This 253-nucleotide ribosomal RNA is filed under the name uncultured bacterium. RNAcentral describes it as "partial 16S ribosomal RNA". It matches the Rfam family "Bacterial small subunit ribosomal RNA", at positions 524 to 776 of the family's 1533-position model. The record is from RNAcentral.
UACGGGGGGAGCAAGCGUUGUUCGGAUUUACUGGGCGUAAAGGGCGCGUAGGCGGCGUGGUAAGUCACUUGUGAAAUCUCCGGGCUUAACUCGGAACGGUCAAGUGAUACUGCUGCGCUAGAGUGCGGAAGGGGCAACUGGAAUUCUCGGUGUAGCGGUGAAAUGCGUAGAUAUCGAGAGGAACACCUGCGGCGAAGGCGGGUUGCUGGGCCGACACUGACGCUGAGGCGCGAAAGCUAGGGGAGCAAACAGG